This is a non-coding RNA of Trichomonas vaginalis G3, 102 nucleotides long. NCBI's taxonomy places the organism in Eukaryota, Parabasalia, Trichomonadida, Trichomonadidae. The record is from Rfam.
GUCUCUAAGCAAUGGAUGUCUUGGCUCCUCACACGAUGAAGAACGUGGCAUAAUGUGUUAAGUAACCGGAGUUGCAAACAUCAUGACAGGUUAAUCUUUGAA